Molecule: ribosomal RNA, 776 nt
Filed under: uncultured Neocallimastigales
Lineage: Eukaryota; Fungi; Neocallimastigomycota; Neocallimastigomycetes; Neocallimastigales
Description: partial large subunit ribosomal RNA
Rfam family: Eukaryotic large subunit ribosomal RNA
Source: RNAcentral
GUAGUCUCGCACAGAUGCAUAUCAAUAAGCGGAGGAAAAGAAACUAACAAGGAUUCCCUCAGUAACGGCGAGUGAAGCGGGAAGAGCUCAAAUUUGAAAUCUUGAAAGGUCACCUUUCACGAAUUGUAGUUUAAAGAAGUGUUUUCUGUUACGAUCGUAAUAUAAGUUCUUUGGAAUAGGACAUCACAGAGGGUGAGAAUCCCGUCUAUGAUUGCGAUUUGUAGCUUUGUGAUACACUUUCAAAGAGUCGGGUUGUUUGGGAAUGCAGCCCAAAACGGGAGGUAAAUUUCUUCUAAGGCUAAAUAUUGGCGAGAGACCGAUAGCGAACAAGUACCGUGAGGGAAAGAUGAAAAGAACUUUGAAAAGAGAGUUAAAUAGUACGUGAAAUUGUCAAAAGGGAAGCGUUUGACACCAGUGUUGUUUUCUCGAAAAUCAAUUAAAAAUGAGCUCGAUUUUGUAUUGUGUAUGACCUUAAAAGCUGCACUUUACAAUUUUCUUGUCUUUUUUAAUGCACUUUUCGUUUAACAAGUCAACAUCAGUUUCUUUUGUUGUAAAAGGGUCAUUGGAAGGUGGCUUUCUUUUCGGAGAAAGUGUUUAUAGCCUUUGCCUCUGCAAUCGGAGAGACUGAGGUCUGCAGCGUAGACUCUUCGGGGUUAGAUACAUUUGUGCUAAGUUAUAGCUUUUUAUAGACAACUUGUUGACUAUGAUUAGUCUUGUAGCUUACUCGCUUAUGCUAUUUUACCUACGCUUAGGAUGUUGAAGAUGUAGCACAUCAU